This 235-nucleotide ribosomal RNA is filed under the name uncultured bacterium. Its description in RNAcentral is "partial 16S ribosomal RNA". It matches the Rfam family "Bacterial small subunit ribosomal RNA", at positions 99 to 334 of the family's 1533-position model. The record is from RNAcentral.
CGGACGGGUGAGUAACGCGUGGGUAACCUGCCUUGUACAGGGGGAUAACAGUUGGAAACGGCUGCUAAUACCGCAUAAGCGCACGGCAUCGCAUGAUGCAGUGUGAAAAACUCCGGUGGUAUAAGAUGGACCCGCGUUGGAUUAGCUAGUUGGUGAGGUAACGGCCCACCAAGGCGACGACCCAUAGCCGACCUGAGAGGGUGACCGGCCACAUUGGGACUGAGACACGGCCCAA